GUGGGGAAUUUUGGACAAUGGGCGCAAGCCUGAUCCAGCAAUGCCGCGUGCAGGAAGAAGGCCUUCGGGUUGUAAACUGCUUUUGUACGGAACGAAACGGUCCUGGCUAAUAUCCGGGGCUAAUGACGGUACCGUAAGAAUAAGCACCGGCUAACUACGUGCCAGCAGCCGCGGUAAUACGUAGGGUGCAAGCGUUAAUCGGAAUUACUGGGCGUAAAGCGUGCGCAGGCGGUGCUGUAAGACAGGCGUGAAAUCCCCGGGCUUAACCUGGGAAUUGCGCUUGUGACUGCAGUGCUGGAGUGCGGCAGAGGGGGAUGGAAUUCCGCGUGUAGCAGUGAAAUGCGUAGAUAUGCGGAGGAACACCGAUGGCGAAGGCAAUCCCCUGGGCCUGCACUGACGCUCAUGCACGAAAGCGUGGGGAGCAAACAGGAUUAGAAACCCUUGUAGUCC
This 450-nucleotide ribosomal RNA is filed under the name uncultured bacterium. Its description in RNAcentral is "partial 16S ribosomal RNA". It matches the Rfam family "Bacterial small subunit ribosomal RNA", at positions 354 to 796 of the family's 1533-position model. The record is from RNAcentral.